Non-coding RNA from Triticum aestivum (bread wheat), 115 nucleotides. Lineage: Eukaryota; Viridiplantae; Streptophyta; Magnoliopsida; Poales; Poaceae. The record is from Rfam.
CAUGUACUCCCUCCGUCCCGAAUUACUUGUCGCUUAAACGGAUGUAUCUAGCACUACAAUAGUGCUAGAUACAUCCGUUUGAGCGACAAGUAAUUCCGAACGGAGGGAGUAUGUA